Long non-coding RNA from Morus notabilis, 294 nucleotides. RefSeq lists it as uncharacterized. Lineage: Eukaryota; Viridiplantae; Streptophyta; Magnoliopsida; Rosales; Moraceae. The transcript has 2 exons. The record is from RefSeq and is a predicted model, not a curated record.
AGUGGAAAGGAAAACAAACAAGGGAAACGAAGAGGGUUAAACGCAGAUUUUGCUAAGCAACGCAGGUAAAGGUAAGAACAAAGCAGAACAGUAAGCAGGGGAGCUGGCUUCGUUGACCGCUGUACAUAUGGUUGGACCAAAGAAGCUGCACACGGAUUAUUUUGGUUUUGUAAACAUAUAUAUUUUGGAGUUAAACUCAUAAACCUUGGAUGAUUGUAUAAUUUUAAUUGUGGCUAGGAAACUUGAUGGGAAUGGUGUAUUAACGAAAUUUUGUUUAAGCAAAAAAAAAAAAAU